Molecule: non-coding RNA, 26 nt
Filed under: Cricetulus griseus (Chinese hamster)
Lineage: Eukaryota; Metazoa; Chordata; Mammalia; Rodentia; Cricetidae
Source: RNAcentral
AGCAGGCGUUGGUGGUAUAGUGGUGA